UCAUCCAGAGAGAUUUGACUGGUGGCUCCAAGUUCUGUGCAGAGAGAGUCUGACUGGCCGCUGUUACUGGGAGGCUGAGUGGAGUGGAAAAGGAGCCCUGAUAGGAGUGACUUAUAAAGGAAUCUGGAGGAAAGGAAACAUUACUGACUGUGGGCUUGGAGCCAAUGACAAGUCAUGGAGUCUGUUCUGCUCUCCUCACAGUUACUCUGUCCGGCACAAUAAUAAACAGGCUGACAUACCCAUAAAGCCCUCAGGUCUCCGCAGAGUAGGAGUGUAUCUAGACUGGGCGGCUGGUACUCUGUCCUUCUACAGAGUCUCCUCUGGUGGACUGACCCUCCUGUACAGCUUCACCUCCUCAUUCACUGAACCCCUCUAUCCAGGGUUUACGAUGAAUACAAACUCCUCCGUGUCCCUGUGCAUGCUGGGAUAGCUCACUAUGUGCUGGAGGAAUCAUUUUUACCUUAUCAGAAUGUCACAUGUCUCUGCUUCUCCAUGGCAAAAAGGUAAAAUCUCUGCUUUUUAACCAGUAUGACCCUUUUUACUCUGUCUGAAGUGUGACGUAUGUUAGACAAAAUUGAAUGUUUGUUCAGCUUGCCAAACCCAUGCAGAAUAUGACUGUUUUUCUCUGACUUCUGUUCUAUGUUGUCUGUAAAUGCACAAAAACUGCCAAAACAAAAUCAUAGUACAUGCAGCUGUACCAAUAAAGUGAAUUCUGAUUAUGAAUAAAAUAAAAUGUAAUGAAAUGUAAUCCUGAUGAGUAUAGGGGGGGCUUUUCCCCUCCCCUCUUUAUGUACAUUUUAUAUAUUUCUGUCUGUAUAUUGUAUUUGCUACCUGUACACUGACAAUAGAGGUUUCCUGUUCUAUCCUAUUAAUGUCCCGAUUCAGCGCUGCCCGAAGCGUAACCGAGUAACGCACUUAAUCCGCGCUCUCUGGUGACUGAGCGCAGCUUCCUGAUAUCGCAGCGGCGAUGCUUUGGCCAGCAGGGGGCGGCAAACGGCAGACAUUUUAUUAGCUCAAAACCUACAGCGGUCCUGAGAUGUGAUGCACCUGUUCCCCUGGGGGUGGGUGUAUAAGGUGGGUUCCCGGCUAAGGGGAGAGGAAUCGAUCCUGUGGCAGCCACCACGCCGGCUUCGGCUCUGCAUCAGUGUUUCAUUGUCCUUUUCUGUUAUGUUCUCUCCUGUUUGUGCUCUUUGUUAAUAAAUGACCCCUGACAAUCGA
Molecule: non-coding RNA, 1218 nt
Organism: Paramormyrops kingsleyae
Lineage: Eukaryota; Metazoa; Chordata; Actinopteri; Osteoglossiformes; Mormyridae
Source: RefSeq, a predicted model, not a curated record